AUUGAACGCUGGCGGCAGGCCUAACACAUGCAAGUCGAGCGGUAGCACAGAGAGCUUGCUCUCGGGUGACGAGCGGCGGACGGGUGAGUAAUGUCUGGGAAACUGCCUGAUGGAGGGGGAUAACUACUGGAAACGGUAGCUAAUACCGCAUAACGUCGCAAGACCAAAGUGGGGGACCUUCGGGCCUCAUGCUAUCAGAUGUGCCCAGAUGGGAUUAGCUGGUAGGUGGGGUAACGGCUCACCUAGGCGACGAUCCCUAGCUGGUCUGAGAGGAUGACCAGCCACACUGGAACUGAGACACGGGCCAGACUCCUACGGGAGGCAGCAGUGGGGAAUAUUGCACAAUGGGCGCAAGCCUGAUGCAGCCAUGCCGCGUGUGUGAAGCAGGCCUUCGGGUUGUAAAGCACUUUCAGCGGGGAGGAAGGCGGUGAGGUUAAUAACCUCAUCGACUGACGUUACCCGCAGAAGAAGCACCGGCUAACUCCGUGCCAGCCGCCGCGGUAA
RNAcentral lists this ribosomal RNA (504 nucleotides) under uncultured bacterium. RNAcentral's name for it is "partial 16S ribosomal RNA". It matches the Rfam family "Bacterial small subunit ribosomal RNA", at positions 29 to 523 of the family's 1533-position model. The record is from RNAcentral.